This 982-nucleotide long non-coding RNA is filed under the name Homo sapiens (human). RNAcentral's name for it is "HSALNT0255115". Lineage: Eukaryota; Metazoa; Chordata; Mammalia; Primates; Hominidae. The record is from RNAcentral.
CAGGGACACAGAGAUACAAAGACAGACGGAGAGAGAGAGAGAGAGAGAUGUAUAGAGUCAGAGAGAGUGUGUAACACAUUUAUUUUAAGAAAUUAGCUCACACAAUCAUGGGAGUUGGCAAGUCUGAAGUCCACAGGACAAGCCAGUUAGGCUGGAGGCUCAGGUAAGAGGUGACACUACCGUCUUAAAGCCUAAAGCCUGGAAACUCAGGCAGAAUUACUAAGUUGCAACCUUGAGGCAGAAUUCCUUCUUCAGGAAACUUCGGUGUUUACUCCUCAGACCUUCAACUGAUCAGGUGCGGCCCACUCACAUUACCUAGGCUCAUCUCCUGUCCUGAAAGUCAACUGUGGUUGAUGGUGAUGGCGAAUCUACAAGGACAGAUGCCGGGGGAGGUGCAGGUAAUGAAACCGCUUUUGCAAAAUCAUAACUGAGGAAAUUAUGACGCUGAAAGAAAUCAGACCUAAGCGUCUCCGUCUUGCUUCUAAGCUUCAAGCUGUCCUUGUUCUUUCCUGGGCAUAGGCCGAACUAACUUUGGGAAGGAAUUCAGUUCAUGGUUUGGCUCUGAAACAAAAUUGGUAACAGCCCUUUCCCGAAAAGACCCCCUUUUUGCCUGGGGACCAGUCUGCCUUUGCAGGACUGACAAAUUAGCUACAAGAUUAGAAAUUACAGUUUAGGGGCCAUACAGCCUCUGGCUCCAAGAGUCUGAACCUCCCCAAAUUGCUCCUGGGGACAACAUCACUAUUGUAAAACCUAAGAUCAGUGCUCCAGAUAUGUUGCAGACCCUGAACUCAAUGGAUCAGCUGACACCAUCGAGACCAGUAAUCUGACCCCUCCAGUUCUGUGAUCCCACCCAGGAACGGAAGACAGAAAACCUCACCUGGACCCCCUAUGAUUCCAACUUCAACCUCACCAAUCAACACUCCUCACUUCCCAAACCUCUACCUGCCAAACUAUUAUUAUUAUUAUUAUUUUGAGAUGAAGU